AUGCAGUUUCAAGGUGUAGUUGCUUCAAACAUAAUGCUUUGACGAUGUUCUCCCUCAGUUGUUAAGGACUGUCAGUAAUGAGUGGAAGUAAAUCUACCUACUAAGACACUGAAUUUAGUAAGAACGUUGUGGGAAUUAUUCAGAUCGCAAUAAUUGGCUAGAUUUCAGCUAGAGGAUUGUUUCUUCUAAGGGUUGAUCUCCAUGUUCUAAUUGGUCAAGUUUUGGAUCAUUUUUGAAGGUAAUGUCUACAUGAUUUGAGCAGACUUGCACAUCUUUUCUGUGCCUUAUCAUCGCCACGGCCGUACGAUUGAUGUGUUAUUCAUCUUCGUGACUGUUUACUAUGGAUUGGCGUGUGCACCCAUCUCUACUUCAAUAGUAUGGAAUUUCGAGGACGAAAUUUUUAUAAGGUGGGGAGAUUGUGACGUCCCGAACCCGAAUUC
RNAcentral lists this long non-coding RNA (440 nucleotides) under Rosa chinensis. RNAcentral describes it as "sRNA RchiOBHm_Chr3g0494911". Lineage: Eukaryota; Viridiplantae; Streptophyta; Magnoliopsida; Rosales; Rosaceae. The record is from RNAcentral.